This 2025-nucleotide long non-coding RNA is filed under the name Canis lupus familiaris (dog). RNAcentral's name for it is "lncRNA (ENSCAFG00845023072.1)". The record is from RNAcentral. Lineage: Eukaryota; Metazoa; Chordata; Mammalia; Carnivora; Canidae.
AAAGUGAAAGCAGGGGAUUCUAAGGGGUAUAUGUACACGGUGUACACAGCAGCAUUUUUCACAAUAGUCAAGGUGGAAGCAAGCAGUGCCCACCAACAGAUAAAUGGAUAAACAAAAUGUGCCAGUGACACACAAUGGACUAUUAUUCAGCCUUUAAAAGGAAGCACAUCCUGGCAUGUGCCGCAAUGUGGAUGUAUCUUGAAGACUUCGGGCUGAGUGAGAUAAGCCAGUCACAGAAGGACAAAUCCCCUACGCUUCCGCUGGUGUAACAUCCCUAGGCUAGUCCUGGUCCUAGAGACAGGAAGGGGAAGGAUGGUUGCCAGGGGCUGGGGGACAGAGAGCAGCGGGGAGUUAACUGUUAAGUAGGUACAGAGAUUCAGUUUUGCAGGAUAAAAAGUUCUGGAGAUGGGUGGUGCUGAUGGUUACACAACAUUGUGAAUGUACUUUUAAAAAAAAAAUGCAUUUAGAAAGAGCAUGGAACCAGUGGGAGAGACAAUUGGGAUCUUGCAAGUUUGGUUCUCCUACUGUUCACCUAUAGCAAAUUUCAAAUAUAUAGCAAAAGUAGUCAGAAAAGUUUAAUAAACCUUUUACAAUAUACCAUUCAGCUUCAGAGGUUGUCAGUUUGUAGUCAAUCUUAUUUCAUCUUUACCCUCACUUUUCCCCUCCAUUCAAUGGAGUUAUUUUUAAAACUUUAUUUGGGAAUAAUUUCAAGGAUAAAGGUACGUAACAAAAGUGAAAAUAGUAAGACAAAACCAAACACCUACUCCCUUAUUCGAAUUCAUCUGUUACUAAUACUUUAUUUCAUUUCCAUGUUUUAUAUGUUCUCUCUCUCACACAUGCACAUCUCCCCCAUUUUUUUUCCACCUAUUGAGGCUAAGUUAUGUAUAUCCUAGACCUCUACCUUUACUUUUAUGAGAAUAUCCUUAUUUUAAGGAUAUCCUUAAAAUAAGGAUAUUCUCUUACAUACCAUAUAGUGUAGUUACCAACUUCAGAAAUUUAGCACUGACUCCAUUUUAUCUCUACACCAUUAAUAUUCCAAUUCUGUCAGUCCUGUUCUUUGUAGUAUUUCUGUCCUCUCCAGUACGGGGCCAGGUAUUAUAGUCAGUUAUCAGCCUCCAUUUCCAGAAUCUUUCUCUUUUAUGACAUUGAUAGUUUGGAAAAGUAAAUCCCUCUUCCUUUUUUAAAUAAGGUGGUCCUUAUUGCGGGGGGCAGGGGGGUAUCUACCAUUUUCUUAUGAUUAGAUUCAAAAUAAGCAUUCUUGCCCAGAGUCCUGCCUGGAUGGUGGCAUGUCCCUCUCAGGGUAUCACAUGGGGGGAGGCAUGGCAAUGUUGAUCUUGAUCACUGAUCAGAGUUGUCUGUUCGCAUCACUGAGCAGUUUUUGCCCUCCUCCCACUCCCCACCAAAUAAUAAGCAGUCUCUGGGGAGAUGCUUUAAGAUCGUGCAAAUAAUCUUAUCGAAAUUUCCCUUAGAUUCAGCAUCUGUAUUUAUUUACCUAUUGCCACAUAAUACAUAUGUCAAAACUUGUUUAAAACAGUAUUUGUCAUCUCAGUUUCUCGAGGUCAGGAAAUUAGUGCUGGCUUGGCUGGAUGGUCCUGCCUAGGACCUCUGGUGAGAUUACAUUUCGUUGUUGGCCAGAAGUUGGCCAUUAUCUGAGGGCUUGCCUGGAGCUGGAGAAUCUAUUUCCAAGAUAGCUCAUUAACACAUCUGGCAAGUCAGUGCUGGAACUGUCACUUCCUUACCACCCGAUGAUUAAUGAUAUUUUUUGAUACAAAGUCAUUAAGAUAAUAAUUCAGAUAUUUUAAUGGGUAUAUUUUUUCCAAAUAGUAAGACAAAAUGUUUGAAAAUUUUCAUGCUAGUGUUUUAAUUUCUGAAGAUAAAGAGGUUAAGUAUUUAGUAGACCAUUUCUAGGGAAAAAAGCAUUGACCUAAUUCAUAGUGGUAUCUUCCAGGAGUGUCAGUAGAUGAAUGUAAAAUAGGUCUCUUUAUGUACCAUUAACUGGCAUCCUCACAGAGAGGGAAAAAAAAA